GAGGUACUCCCUCCAUCCAAAAAAACUUGUCCCGGACUUGUUCCUCAAAUGAAUGUAUCAAGCACUAACUUAGUGCUAGAUACAUGCAUUUAAGGGACAAGCUUUGUCGGACGGAAGAAGUAGAUA
Non-coding RNA from Triticum aestivum (bread wheat), 126 nucleotides. Lineage: Eukaryota; Viridiplantae; Streptophyta; Magnoliopsida; Poales; Poaceae. The record is from Rfam.